UGGGGAAUCUUCCGCAAUGGACGAAAGUCUGACGGAGCAACGCCGCGUGAGUGAUGACGGCCUUCGGGUUGUAAAGCUCUGUUAAUCGGGACGAAAGGCCUUCUUGCGAAUAGUUAGAAGGAUUGACGGUACCGGAAUAGAAAGCCACGGCUAACUACGUGCCAGCAGCCGCGGUAAUACGUAGGUGGCAAGCGUUGUCCGGAAUUAUUGGGCGUAAAGCGCGCGCAGGCGGAUUGGUCAGUCUGUCUUAAAAGUUCGGGGCUUAACCCCGUGAUGGGAUGGAAACUGCCAAUCUAGAGUAUCGGAGAGGAAAGUGGAAUUCCUAGUGUAGCGGUGAAAUGCGUAGAUAUUAGGAAGAACGCCAGUGGCGAAGGCGACUUUCUGGACGAAAACUGACGCUGAGGCGCGAAAGCCAGGGGAGCGAACGGGAUUAGAUACCCCGGUAGUCCUGGCCGUAAACGAUGGGUACUAGGUGUAGGAGGUAUCGACCCCUUCUGUGCCGGAGUUAACGCAAUAAGUACCCCGCCUGGGGAGUACGACCGCAAGGUUG
This 550-nucleotide ribosomal RNA is filed under the name uncultured bacterium. RNAcentral describes it as "bacterial SSU rRNA". It matches the Rfam family "Bacterial small subunit ribosomal RNA", at positions 355 to 896 of the family's 1533-position model. The record is from RNAcentral.